GGACAGGUGGCAGAGUGGUCGAAUGUACCUGACUCGAAAUCAGGCGUACGUGAUAAGCGUACCGUGGGUUCGAAUCCCACCCUGUCCG
Molecule: transfer RNA, 88 nt
Filed under: Paracandidimonas soli
Lineage: Bacteria; Pseudomonadati; Pseudomonadota; Betaproteobacteria; Burkholderiales; Alcaligenaceae
Rfam family: tRNA
About the family: Transfer RNA (tRNA) molecules are approximately 80 nucleotides in length.
Source: Rfam by way of RNAcentral